GAUGAACGCUAGCGGCAGGCUUAACACAUGCAAGUCGAGGGGCAGCAUGAGUGUUAGCAAUAACACUUGAUGGCGACCGGCGCAAGGGUGCGUAACGCGUGAGCAACUUGCCCUUAUCAGGGGGAUAACCAAUGGAAACGUUGACUAAUACCCCAUAGUAUAGCUUUGAGGCAUCUCUUAGUUAUUAAAGAAUUUCGGAUAAGGAUAGGCUCGCGUGACAUUAGCUAGAUGGCGGGGUAACGGCCCACCAUGGCGACGAUGUCUAGGGGUUCUGAGAGGCUUAUCCCCCACAUUGGGACUGAGACACGGCCCAA
RNAcentral lists this ribosomal RNA (314 nucleotides) under uncultured bacterium. RNAcentral describes it as "bacterial SSU rRNA". It matches the Rfam family "Bacterial small subunit ribosomal RNA", at positions 28 to 334 of the family's 1533-position model. The record is from RNAcentral.